This 2194-nucleotide ribosomal RNA is filed under the name Triticum aestivum (bread wheat). RNAcentral describes it as "partial small subunit ribosomal RNA". Lineage: Eukaryota; Viridiplantae; Streptophyta; Magnoliopsida; Poales; Poaceae. The record is from RNAcentral.
GCAUGGUCGUGGGAUUGAUGCGGAGAUGCUCGUGCACGGCGACCUGCUUCGAGCCGUCGGUGGUGGUCGGAGUGGAGACGCGCCUCGGCCAGGGAGGCGGCAGAUCUGGGCCAGGAGUGGCCGCGCAAGCGGCGGCCGGGAUCUGCCGCGGCGGCCGGUGGGUGCGGUCUGCCCCUGCUGACCCCGGCGAGAUUCUGCAGGUGCGGCUGUGGGAGCGAGGGGUGGCGGCGCAGGCUGGUUCUGGGCUGCUUGCGCUCGGGUCAGCGGCUUGGUUGUGGGGAGCAUCACGCGGUGGUGCGCGCUUCUGUUGGAUGUGCGUCGAGGUGGCUCCCCGGCCAUGGGCUCCAGAGCUGUGUCCGUUGCUGGGUUGUCCACCAGGAGGUGGUGUGACAGCCGUUGCUUGCGGCAUCAGCAGCUUCUGGCCGUGCUGGUUGUGGAAGGAGUAAUGGAGUUGUUUGUCCCCGAUCAUGCGGAAGGUGGUAGCUGGACUGCGUGUCCUCGCCGUGCAGGGUGUUGGUGUUCUGUGUCGCUAUGAUCACGAUAGCAAGGUGUUGCGGCAGUGGCGGUGUGAUCCAGCACUGACAUUCUGGCCUCAAUUCUUCGCGGGGGUGGGGGUUGGCCAACGUUACGGAUGAAAAUCCUGCCCGUCUUCGGUUGGUGUUGGCGGCGAUGGCGCCCGUGGGUGUCGUUUCCCUCCUUGGAGGCGUCGCUUAGGUGUGUUGGCAUCUCCCCCGCUUGCUUGGGUUGUUGUCUCCGGGCGAAAGCCUAGGUCUUGGACCGGCGAUGACGGCGUCAUGGCGUCGUUCCUCUGUUGGGAGCAUCGUGGUUGGAGACAUGGCUUGGAGGUUCAGUGUUGUGGUUCUCCGGUGCAUGGCGCUGGUCCGAGUAGAGGUUCUUGGGCGCAAUGUAUGCCGACGUCGGUGACUCUAAGAUGGUGGCUUUCUCGGGAUCAACUUUAAUAUUUUUGUAUCGAUUCUGUAUGUGUAGAUUUGUAAAUGUAACAUCUCAAUGUCACCACACUAUGUUUUUUAUCGAUUCUGUACAUCAAUAUUUGUGUGUUUGUUUAUUUGUUUUCUAUGUGCUUCUAUUCUGAAUAAUGCUACUUGCCUGAUUGUCUAUUUUUCUAUUCUGAAUGUAGAGAGAGAGAGAGCAUCAUGACUGCCAUGGCUUGAACUAUUUUGCUGAGAUCCUGGAAAAAUUGAAUGGUAUAAUUCUGUUAAUUGGGAACCUUGGAAUUGAUUUUUCACCUGAAAAGGUUGAUCGAGGGUCGGAUAAUGGACGUAACACAGCUGCUAGAGAAGAGAUUAUAAUAUGGAAAAUAUUAGAUGAGGAGGAAGCUAAAGUUGGUAGAUCAAUUGAGCAAGAGUUCCAGACCCAGGUUACACCAAGAACAAGUGCCUCAGAUCAUUCAUUUUUCAGGCAGCGGAAGGAUCACUCCCCCUCCCCUCGCGUCGCCCACCUGAGGGCGACUCGAGGGUGCCCUCGCCCCGUCCGCCGUGACCACCCCUCUUCGGAUCUCACCGCCUCGACCAAAAUGUGAUUUGAGGCAAAUUCUGCGUUUGAGGCAAGGACAAUAAAAGUGAUGGAGCUUUUGGUCUUCAGCACCUUGAAAUGGAGGAUGCAAGCUGUUACUGCUUGCUCGUUUAUUGACUACUUCCUUUGCAAAUUCAAUGAUCAUGACACACCCUCCAUGCUUGCAUUCUCCUGCUCAACUGACCUCAUCCUGAGCACAACUAAGUGAGCUGAUUUUUUGGUGUUCAGACAUUCAGAGAUUGCUGGAAGUGUUGCACUUCCUUCAUUUGGGGAGCACAAGACUUCAGUUGUCGAAAUGGCUACAACUAAUUGCAAGUAUAUAAACAAGGGAGUGUGAUGUGACAGGAAAGAUCCUGAUGAAGUGCUUCCUUUAUGGAAUGCCUAUCUGAAGUUUGGACUAAGAGACAUGCUUUAAUUGGCUUAGUAAAAAAUACUUGCUAAAGAGAAAUAAGAUUCAAAGUAGAUGUUUUUAUUGUAGAUUAGGAUAUGUGUGUUCUGCCACCGGUUCGACUUCUCAUAUUAGAAGGCAAGCAGUUAGUUCAUAUCUUACUACUUUGCACUAUUGUAGAUGGAUGGUGAGGGAUUGAGAGGCUACUACUAUUAAUGUGCGUAAACUUUGCAUCUUUAGCUCUCUAAAUGAAACCGGUGAUGGUUAACCUGA